Molecule: transfer RNA, 69 nt
Filed under: Ixobrychus eurhythmus (von Schrenck's bittern)
Lineage: Eukaryota; Metazoa; Chordata; Aves; Pelecaniformes; Ardeidae
Description: tRNA-Asp
Rfam family: tRNA
About the family: Transfer RNA (tRNA) molecules are approximately 80 nucleotides in length. Their secondary structure includes four short double-helical elements and three loops (D, anti-codon, and T loops). Further hydrogen bonds mediate the characteristic L-shaped molecular structure. tRNAs have two regions of fundamental functional importance: the anti-codon, which is responsible for specific mRNA codon recognition, and the 3' end, to which the tRNAs corresponding amino acid is attached (by aminoacyl-tRNA synthetases). tRNAs cope with the degeneracy of the genetic code in two manners: having more than one tRNA (with a specific anti-codon) for a particular amino acid; and 'wobble' base-pairing, i.e. permitting non-standard base-pairing at the 3rd anti-codon position.
Source: RNAcentral
GGGGUGUUAGUAAAACCAUUACAUAGCCUUGUCAAGGCUAAAUCAUAGGUGAAAAUCCCAUACACCCCC